Molecule: transfer RNA, 85 nt
Filed under: Conexivisphaera calida
Lineage: Archaea; Thermoproteati; Nitrososphaerota; Conexivisphaeria; Conexivisphaerales; Conexivisphaeraceae
Rfam family: tRNA
About the family: Transfer RNA (tRNA) molecules are approximately 80 nucleotides in length. Their secondary structure includes four short double-helical elements and three loops (D, anti-codon, and T loops).
Source: Rfam by way of RNAcentral
GCCGCCGUAGCUCAGUCGGUAGAGCGGCUGGCUGUUAAGGCCGGCAGAGACCAGUAGGUCGCCCGUUCGAGUCGGGCCGGCGGCG